GACGAACGCUGGCGGCGUGCUUAACACAUGCAAGUCGAACGCUGAAGCUUGGUGCUUGCUCUGGGUGGAUGAGUGGCGAACGGGUGAGUAAUAAGUGAGUAACCUGCCCUUGACUCUGGGAUAAGCCUGGGAAACUGGGUCUAAUACUGGAUACGACAUGUCACCGCAUGGUGGUGUGUGGAAAGGGUUUUACUGGUUUUGGAUGGGCUCACGGCCUAUCAGCUUGUUGGUGGGGUAAUGGCUCACCAAGGCGACGACGGGUAGCCGGCCUGAGAGGGUGACCGGCCACACUGGGACUGAGACACGGCCCAGACUCCUACGGGAGGCAGCAGUGGGGAAUAUUGCACAAUGGGCGGAAGCCUGAUGCAGCGACGCCGCGUGAGGGAUGACGGCCUUCGGGUUGUAAACCUCUUUCAGCACGGAAGAAGCGAAAGUGACGGUACGUGCAGAAGAAGCGCCGGCUAACUACGUG
RNAcentral lists this ribosomal RNA (472 nucleotides) under uncultured bacterium. Its description in RNAcentral is "partial 16S ribosomal RNA". It matches the Rfam family "Bacterial small subunit ribosomal RNA", at positions 28 to 507 of the family's 1533-position model. The record is from RNAcentral.